This is a long non-coding RNA of Phocoena sinus (vaquita), 1910 nucleotides long. Lineage: Eukaryota; Metazoa; Chordata; Mammalia; Artiodactyla; Phocoenidae. The record is from Ensembl.
AUAUGAGAGUCAUACUUUAGUGUGCGUUUCGAAUUCGGCAAGUAUGCCUGAACCAGCUAAGUCUGCUCUUGCCCCGAAGAAGGGUUCCAAGAAGGCGGUGACCAAAGCCCAGAAGAAAGAUGGUAAAAAGCGCAAGCGCAGCCGCAAGGAGAGCUAUUCCGUGUAUGUGUACAAGGUGCUGAAGCAGGUCCACCCGGACACCGGCAUCUCGUCCAAGGCUAUGGGCAUCAUGAAUUCGUUUGUCAAUGACAUCUUCGAGCGCAUUGCGGGCGAGGCGUCGCGCCUGGCGCAUUAUAACAAGCGCUCAACCAUCACGUCCAGGGAGAUCCAGACGGCCGUGCGCCUGCUGCUGCCCGGGGAGCUGGCCAAGCACGCCGUGUCCGAGGGCACCAAGGCUGUCACCAAGUACACCAGCUCCAAGUAAAUGUUUAUAGGUGCUGUUAAAACAAAGGCUCUUUUCAGAGCCACUUACAUUUUCAUGUGAGGAGUUGUGAUGCCCUCUUGAUGCCCGUUUUGGGCAUGUUAUCUAAACGCAGUUAGAUACUGGAGUUGGCUGAGUUGUUUCUGCUAAUAAGUCUAUGUAUAGAGAAGCCCUUGUGCUUAUUAAAACAGGCUCUUUCUGUUUCACCUCUUUCCCAAACCUUCCUAUAUUCUAUACUAAAAAAGCCAAGAGUUUCUGUCCACCACGCCUUAUUUUCAAUUACGAAAGCAAGGGAGGCUGGCUGGGUGGGAUUAGGAAAGGGAACUCUUCCAUCCUAGCCGUAGUUUGGCACUCUGGUACCAGGAAUUGGUUUCUGUUCCCAGCUUCCCCCGGCCCUUUCCCCAGAAUGGAUCCUACACUCCCAGAAUCAUGCCCCACCCCACAGAAUUCAGAGCCUUACCUCCAUCUGGCCUGCGCUCCAAACUUCGACAUUCUAGUACCUCUGCCUUCUCCUGUGUGCCCAGACCCCUAUAUGGGGUCCAGUUUCAGUUGUUUCUGAAACACUUCAGCUCGGGUUUUGCUCUUCCUUCCAAAACCUGUGUAACUUUUAUUAAAUUAUCUUUGUAAAAAUAACCAAGAGUUUUCUCUUUUCCUGACUGGACACUGACUAAUGCAUGGUGUCAAGCCUCCCUUGAUUUAAACCUUUUGCUUGUUUCACUUCGUUUCAGCGUCAGACACUUUGAUAAUCAUACAUUUUCCUUACUCUCGAUCUCAGAAGGGUUUAUCACCAUCAGUUCUCCCAGGUAGGUAAAGCAUUUAUUCCAGGAGACAAAAGAAGUGAGUCGAAUUGGAGUGCGGCAUGCAGGCCUUUGGGAUUUGGAGCUUCAUCUCCUAGCCUAACCAUGUCUUCCUUUUUGGCUGAUUCGGGACACAUCAUGAAAGAUGAAUAAGAAAUGCACCAAGAAAAGGGAUGUAGCCUAGUGCUGGGAGAGGAGGUAAUUCAUGCAAAAAUACUUCCUAAAGUGUUGAGAAAUCUGUACAUGUGAAGUGUUUUUGAAUUCUAUCUAGACAUCUUUGAAAGAAAACUGCAUCAGAAGACAUUGGUUGGAAUUUGAGUUCUGUGAGGUAAAUAAUCUUUGGUUCUCACAGCCUCUGUUCCUUACUUUAAAAAUGAGAAUGUUGGGCUUCCCUGGUGGCACAGUGGUUAGGAAAUCCGCCUGCCAGAUGCAGGGGACACGGGUUAGAGCCCUGGUCCGGUAAGAUCUCACAUGCCUCAGAGCAACUAAGCCAGUGCGCCACAACUACUGAGCCUGCGCUCUAGAGCCCACGAGCCACAACUACUGAGCCCGUGUGUCACAACUACUAGAGCCCGUGCUCUGCAACAAGAGAAGCCACCACAAUAAGAAGUCCGCGCACUGCAACGAAGAGUAGUCCCCCUCGCCACAACCAGAGAAAAGCCCACGUGCAGCAGUGAAGACCCAACGCAGCC